UCUAUUAAGACACACAUAAUCGGCUUGAUACUCUGUCUUAUGUGUUGCUGGCCUUGCGUGUGUUUACCCUACUGUAUGAAGUCCUGUCAGAAUGCCAAUCACUAUUGUCCCAAUUGUGACGCAUACAUUGGCACAUACAAAAAUUAACAAAAUAAUAACCAAAGCGGAAAAUAAGAAGCUAAAGCAAAAUGAAACAAACUCUUUUUAGAAACAUCUUUAAUAAAAUAAGUAGUAGCCUAGAGCUGCAUAAGAAAAUGGAUAAUAAAUGCUUCAUUACAUCUUAGCUAUAUACAUAUAUAUUAUAUAUAAUGUGAACUAAUAUUUGGAUAAAAUUAAAAACUUUUUUAAAAAUA
Molecule: non-coding RNA, 353 nt
Organism: Bactrocera oleae (olive fruit fly)
Lineage: Eukaryota; Metazoa; Arthropoda; Insecta; Diptera; Tephritidae
Source: RefSeq, a predicted model, not a curated record